UUGAACAAUGUAUAAUAAAGACAUGAAUGAACAUUGUAGAUAUGAAUAUAUCUUCUAUCCACAUUGACCCAUACCAUGCUUGGGAGAAGCACUUGCCUUGCAGUUGAUUUGUUCUGAGACCAUGUGUUGAAACUAUAACAGUUGCUGUGUGGAAAAAAAACAUAGCCAUUCUAAAACACAUGAAACCUGCAGUGGAACUAUGUCCGUGACCAGGUUGCAGUAAACAUGAUGAAAAUUUUAACACCAAGUAAUAAAUGUUUAAGUUAACAGUUUUUGUGUGUGUUUGAAUGGUUAAUAUGUCUUCUACAUUAUAAUUGUCAUGUAUAUAUAUAAUAGUGUAUAAGCAAUUUAUGUAUUUAUACACAAAAGUGGUGACCUUUGACAGGACACCUUACAUGCUAGAAAGGGCAGUUAAAGCCCAAACCAUGAAUAAGGGCAAUUUCAAAGAGAAUGAAAAUAAAAAAUAUUUGUAGCCACCGAUAUGAAAAUUUUUCUAAAUUUUCUACCCUUAUUAUUUUCAUGGUAUAUAUAUAUAUACCAUAGAUCUAUUACUUCCAUCAUAGGAAUAAGAUUAAGAUUAAUGUAAUAUAAAGCUGAAGCAAAUUAACACCAAAUAUACAGUGCGUGUGUUUUUAUUGGCUAAACUGGCAAUAUGACCAUCCCCAAGUACAACAAUAUAUAUAUAUAUACCUACAUAUAUUUAUAUAAUGGAGAUACAUCAUUAUUUUAUGUCCAUUUUCCAUGCAGACAUGGAAUAGGAGGAUUCAACAGGAUUCAGUAGGUUCCAAGUUUACGUCUUGUUGCAAUGUCUCAUUUUUGGCUUGAUUUCUAUAGUUGGAUGCCCUCCCUAAUACCAGCUACUUUACAGAGUAUAACGGGUGCAUUUUUUUUUCUUGGCACUAGCAUUAUAGACCUUGCAUUGUAGUUUGCUAAGUGAAGAGUUCCUAUGAUGGAAGUAAUAGAUCUAUUGUGAAAGGAUAGUAAUGGAGAGAAUAUCAGAGGAUACAGCAUCAGGAUGAGAGUAAAAGAGAAUCACACACGUACAUACACAUACAUUCAUAUGCACACCAACUCCUCUCUACCAAAUAUUUUGGCUUUGUGUCUAAGGAAUUCUUAGGGGUAACAGGUUGCCGGAAUGGUUAGAGUAGCAGAAAAAAAAUGUUUUGCUGCCUUAAUUCUGCAUUGUUACCUUCUGAGUUCAAAUCCUGCCAAGUUCAAAUUUUCCUGUCAUCUUUUCAAAGUUCAUCAAAUAUAGUAUCAUUCAAGUACUGAGGUUGACGUAAUCAACUAGCCUCCUCCUUUGAAAAUUGCUAGUCUUGGGCCUAAAUGAGAAACAGUUAUUAUUGUAAUUAUUAGCAAGAAGCAAGCUGCUGACAGUUGAGUAUACAGCUUGGUUAUGAUUUCUGGUGUCGUCCCCUUUCUCUUCAUUAACACAUAAAAUAAGUUUAAGCCUCAUUCCAAUUAAAAAAAGGAAAACAUUUUAUUUUAUAAGUGUCUGAUAGCAGAUUUUUAACUGCAACACGACAUCUUUUGGCCUCCAGCAUAGUUCAUCAUCAUCAUCAUUGUCAUCAUUGUUGUCAUCAUCAUCAUGGUUUUAUUUUAGUUACUAUUCAUUUGUUUCUCUAUUUCACUUGUCAUCCAUUUUUGUUUUUUUUUUGGUGGGGGAGGAUGUCUGAAGGAAAAAUGUAUAUUAUGAUGGUAAUAAUAAGUACAUAAUAAUAAUGUAUAAUUCUUAAAAAUAUAAA
Long non-coding RNA from Octopus bimaculoides (California two-spot octopus), 1745 nucleotides. RefSeq lists it as uncharacterized. The record is from RefSeq and is a predicted model, not a curated record. Lineage: Eukaryota; Metazoa; Mollusca; Cephalopoda; Octopoda; Octopodidae.